GUGGGGAAUUUUGGACAAUGGGCGCAAGCCUGAUCCAGCAAUGCCGCGUGCAGGAAGAAGGCCUUCGGGUUGUAAACUGCUUUUGUACGGAACGAAACGGUCCGGGUUAAUACCCUGGGCUAAUGACGGUACCGUAAGAAUAAGCACCGGCUAACUACGUGCCAGCAGCCGCGGUAAUACGUAGGGUGCAAGCGUUAAUCGGAAUUACUGGGCGUAAAGCGUGCGCAGGCGGUUUUGUAAGACAGGCGUGAAAUCCCCGGGCUCAACCUGGGAAUUGCGCUUGUGACUGCAAGGCUGGAGUGCGGCAGAGGGGGAUGAAAUUCCGCGUGUAGCAGUGAAAUGCGUAGAUAUGCGGAGGAACACCGAUGGCGAAGGCAAUCCCCUGGGCCUGCACUGACGCUCAUGCACGAAAGCGUGGGGAGCAAACAGGAUUAGAUACCCCAGUAGUCC
Molecule: ribosomal RNA, 450 nt
Filed under: uncultured bacterium
Lineage: Bacteria
Description: bacterial SSU rRNA
Rfam family: Bacterial small subunit ribosomal RNA
Source: RNAcentral